UACCUUAAGUAAUUCUGUGUAGUCCUA
This 27-nucleotide small RNA is filed under the name Bombyx mori (domestic silkworm). RNAcentral describes it as "ovarian small RNA-20923". Lineage: Eukaryota; Metazoa; Arthropoda; Insecta; Lepidoptera; Bombycidae. The record is from RNAcentral.